Anguilla rostrata (American eel) is the source of this 4992-nucleotide long non-coding RNA. RefSeq lists it as uncharacterized. The record is from RefSeq and is a predicted model, not a curated record. Lineage: Eukaryota; Metazoa; Chordata; Actinopteri; Anguilliformes; Anguillidae. The transcript is spliced from 3 exons.
CCCAAGAACACCUCAGUAUCAGUGAGACCAUCUGGUGAAAUAGUGGAGGGCAGUUCAGUGACUCUGACCUGCAGCAGUGAUGCCAACCCACCUGUGCAGAACUACACCUGGUAUAAGAAGAAUGACACUGCUGGAGUCUGGCAGGCAGGAUCUGGACAGAGUUUGAACUUUUCUAACUUUAGAUCCUGGAACAGAGGACAGUACUACUGUGAGGCACAGAACAGACUUGGAGCUCAGAAUUCUACUGCUGUGUCAAUCAACACAGAAGUAGGGGAUAGGACAGUGCUUGUGUGGACGGUUGUUGGAAUCACAGUGGCUGUUGCACUCGUUGCUGCUGUUGCGUGUAUGAGAUGGAAGAAGAAAAGUGCACGGAGAGAGAGAGUAGCAGACACACAGGCACUGUAAAAAACGAUUUCCCACCUGGAUAUUCCUGGACCUGGACACCUGGAUCAUGACAACCAUAUCAGCCUUGCGGGAUAAGCAAAGGACAGUUUUCUGUACAUGCUGUAUUUUUUAUGAAACUACAAAGUCAGUAGAUCUGUGCUGAACAGAAGACACAAAGCACAGAUACACACAAUGCAAGUUACAGUCAAUUAGUGUGGACUUCCUGCUAAGUUUAACUCAAUUUCAGUCUUGCUCCAUAUUUUAAUUGGUUAAAAAUAUUGCAGAACAUUCCCCAAUUAACUGCCAUUAGAUUGUACUUGUGUCUGUGGAAAUUUUUUCAUUUCAUUUUGCAAUCCACAAUAUGUUAAAAUAUAAUUCUGUAAUGUAAAUUCUUCAAUUGAUUCUGUGAUUGGGAUGGCAGGUAUGCCAUCCCGCCAAGUUACGCCUUGGCGGGGGCAUGCCCCAUACCUAUACAGCACUGAGAGUUUGGCACUUUUCAGGGUUCUCCACAGAAAUAACCACAACAGCCACAUACACUCAGCCCUUAAAAACAUUAAAUUCUGUACAUUCUCACCCCAUUUCAACAAACAGAAUUAAUAAACAACUUCACAUAAUAAAGCCCCAAAGUAACGGGAUUUUGCGUUUUCUCCUUCUUCUUCUUCUUCUUCUUCUCAUUCUUCUUCUUAUUUUUCCUGCCGCCUAUCCCACUAACAACAUGUCUCCCCAUUGGAGACUUUACCGACACCAGAAACUUGCAUACACACGCAAAAUACCCAUACCUUUUUAUUCUGAAACAUUUCCACUUUAAACAGCUAGCCUGCCUGUGGCCUAGUGGGCAAGGUUACAGCCUGGGAAUCAUUGGGUCCCAGGUUCAAGCCCAGCUAAGAACACAUUUCUGUAAUCUGCUUUCACCCUCACUAAUAAUUGUCUACUACUUCUCAAUUAUUGCUUUUGCACCAUAUCUACCCACCGUUCACCGAACGUAUACACUGCAUUAUGACGUACCGUCUGCACAUUCAGUUAUUAACCGGCCACAAUAUUGCUAAGCCAUAUGGGUUCAACGGGAGCUCUUCUGUGCUUACUGGCCUGUGUUCUUCUUUAAAACCACGGACAGGUUUGCUAAUGAUAUUUCACGCAUUGCAUAGCUAUGUCAUGGUGCUGCCCCUAACAAAGUGACAGACUGGUAAACCUCCGGUUUGAAAGAAUUGAGGAAAUAUUGGGUAGCAUUGCUUUGGAAUACAUCUUAUUUAAUUUUGGUGAGGCAAGAUAGCCUAUAUUGUUUCUAGUACCGUAACUUGGCGUCAUUUCGAUAUCAAUACUUUUAAUGGCAGGCGUGGAUUUUGGCAGUGUGAAUGAAUGAGUUAUAGACGGUGUAUGUCUUCUAUGUGUGAGUAACUUGGCAUUUUUAUACUUUGAAAACGUGUUUUUUAUGAGAUAUUAUUACUUACUUAGGCCUCAUCACGCCAAGUGGUGCAUAAGGCCUCCACAAGGCCCCUCCAUCUCUUCCGGUCCUGGGCCAAAUGAUUCUGGGACGUAUAGUCCACUAAGUCAACAGACUGUGGCCACUCAAAUGUAGGGAAUGUGGUUAGAUGGCCAGAUGAGGAGACACGAUUUGACCCAGGGUACUUUAACGGCCAUUACCUUUGGAAAAGUGCCGUGGGAACUUCACCGACAGCGAAUCAGGAUCUUGUUUUCACAAUGCACCUGAAGAGCAACAUGUUCACGGUGCCCCAUCACAAUGAUGUCACGUCGAAUUUUAUUUGAUCUGAACAGAAGACUGCCCCCUACUGGCCCUCCAACACCCCUUCAGCUGCAGCCAGUUUUCCUCAAAGGAGGCUGCUGCGUCUGCUGGUGUGUCAUGUGCUCCUGCACUGAAUAUAAGUCACCGAUGGUCUACGGAGUCUGCACGCCUUGUUUCCAAGGCCUAAAUGAGCUGCUGAGUGAAAUCACAAAAACCAGCAGAGUCUGUGGUCGUACAGGGUUAGAGUUUGAGGCCCCUAGCCCCCAAGACAUCUUUUAAAACGUGCUUCAGGGGGAUUUUUCUUUUUUGAUGUGAAAUUGAUUAGUCUUCUGACAAUACCAUCAAAUAUUACAACAUUUACAACAUACAAAUUCUUCAGAUAUCUGUUUCUCAAAAUCUGCCUGAAUGUUGCAUUUUGUGAGGGUGUCACUGGGACAUUCUCUCUCAAUCUAAAAGCUAUGCAGAGCUGAAGUAAAAACGCGAGUUUCCAGAUCUCUAUACAGAACUGCAGUCUGUUUCUGCUAGAUUCUCCAUCUUAUAAAGAGCUGCUGGUGGAGGAAUUUUCCCAGAGUACUGUAACCCUGCUGCAACAUGCAUGUUCAUGUAACCCUGCUGCAACAUGCAUGUUCAUGUAACCCUGCUGCAUACAUGCAUGUUCAUGUAACCCUGCUGCAUACAUGCUCCUGUGACACAGUUACACGUUUGUAUAACCCUGUUACACACACGCUCAUAACUCAUGUACAUGCGCAUGUAUUCUCUCACAUUGAAUGGGAAGAUUAUAAUGCAGAUUAAUGCAGAUUGUAAUCUCCAAACUCACGUCACUUUUAAAAGCAAGGUCCAAAAUCUUUUAAAACAGUGUUUUAGAUUUACAUUUUACAUUGCCUUGUUGUAAUAACCCCAUUUUUAGUUUCUGUCUGUUUAGCAAUUUGAAAUAAUGCAUCUUUGUAUUUGUUUUCUUUACAUACAUUGUUUUAUUAUGUCAAUCAAUAAAUUAUGAUUUAUUUGAGCAUUGUAAAGCACUGUGAACCUUGAACCUCUGUUUUGAUAAAGAUUAUCAUUAUUUUCUUUAUACGGCCAUCAUAUUUUGCCUGCAAACCCCCCCCCCCAAAAAUAAAAUAAAAUAAAAUAAAAUAAAUAAAUAUAAUAAAAUGAAUAAAUAAAAUAAUAUUCAUAUGAAUUCCAUUUUAUUCACGUGUGGGCAUCUAUUUCAUUUCUGUGAAAUGUGAAAGAUACAAUAAUCCAAUCGGCUGUAUGUAGUAAAAAUCAUCUUCAUGGAGUAUAAGCAUUGAAAUGCAACUAAUUAAGUGCUUGCAGGACCGUAUAACAGGCAAAGCAAAACCAAAGUUCUAAAAGGUCACAUGAACAUCAACCACAGAAACAGUGCCGCUCCACCCCAACUGAACUGAGAUGUGAAAUGAAAUAAAGAAUAGAACAGGCUGCAGGAAGUGAGUGGCAUUUUAACUUCCUCCACUGUCUGUGGUCAGGGUGGCUCUGGUCUGAAAUUAGGCAGCUUCAGCCACAGCCGCGGCACCAGAGCCGGGAUACUUUCACAAAGAUAACUACACCUGUCCGCUUUUUACAUCUUCUGCGAAAGUAAGUGCAAUCUUAAUGUUGAUCUGGGGGUUAUAGGCUAGGCUACAGCAGCCCUGUUUUAUUCUUAAUGGCUGUUAACACAUUUUUUCAUUGAGUUGUAAAAUAAUGUAUAUGAUUCAAUAGAGUGCCUUGAUAGAAGUUGAGAGAAGAAAAAAAAAAUCUUUGAUUUUUGCACGCUUACAUUUAUUGUAUUUUUUUAAACAGUGGAGAAAUUUAAGUACAGUGUUGUUGUUCUCUGAUCUACGGAUUACAGUUAGUGCUUUAUUCUGUGCUAAUCUAGUGAUCCUAAUGGAGAUCAGUCUCUCUCACUGCUGAAAGGUGGCUAUGUGACCAGUGGGGAAAUCAUGCACAGCAUUCGUUAAAACAGUAAAUUAGCUUUCUUAAAAUUAAAAUAAUGUAAAAAAAAAUAAAAAAUAAAAUAUAUAUAUAUAUAUAUAUAUCAUUGCAUACUGACAGUAACUCUUUCUUUUAUUACUUUCCAUGUUAUCUGUUAAACGCUGAAUAUCAAUGAUUUUUUUGUGGAAUUUUGGUUAUGGCUUAAAAAACAAAAGGCAAUAAUAUAAGUUAUGUUUCUUAUAUGUAUGUUCAGGCCGAUGCAGCCAUGCCCGAAACAUCCUCAACAGUAUUUUUGUAAGCCCUUCUCUCUGCCUCAGGUAAACAAUUUAGUUCAACUUCAGUUCUGCUUAUUAAUGCCAGUUUACAGAGGUUACAAUAUCUAUCAGAAGCUAAAAUCUAUUUAGAAUUACUAUGAUUUGAUGUAACCUGUUUAACUCAUUAGAUUGGGAAAGCAAAAAAUUAAAGACAUAUGUUACAGGAAAUGGGAAUCUAAAUCUUACAUACAAGAUCACAUACGUUGUUUAGAUGCCCUACUGGGGGAAAUCUUAAACUGAUUUAAGCUACACUUGUAUGUUGUCUAAUCUGUGUUUCUCAUUUGUCCGGUUAUGUAUUGUGUAUGCACUGACGCUUUUACACAAAUGAAGUUCCUAACGGAUAAAGUUAUUUUGAAUUUGAAUUUGGUUUAGAGAUUCUAGGCUGAGCAGAAUCUUUUUACAUUUAUUUUUACCACACAUCUGCUGUGAAAUGUAGAACAAAUGAUUGAUCUUAAGUUCCUCUUUAUGCUCAGCUCUACAACAGAGAUGAGUAGAUUUCUUUGGCUUCAUGACAUGGGCAGAACUGUAAAUGAACUGCAUUUACUGGUGUGCUCUAUUCCUGAGGAAUAUUAUAGAUUUUUCCAUCAUUUAAACUUUUGUGAAACUAAAUUGUAUACUUGAAAA